GCAGUCGAGCGAACAGAUGAGAAGCUUGCUUCUCUGAUGUUAGCGGCGGACGGGUGAGUAACACGUGGGUAACCUACCUAUAAGACUGGGAUAACUCCGGGAAACCGGGGCUAAUACCGGAUAAUAUUUUGAACCGCAUGGUUCAAUAGUGAAAGACGGUUUCGGCUGUCACUUAUAGAUGGACCCGCGCCGUAUUAGCUAGUUGGUAAGGUAACGGCUUACCAAGGCGACGAUACGUAGCCGACCUGAGAGGGUGAUCGGCCACACUGGAACUGAGACACGGUCCAGACUCCUACGGGAGGCAGCAGUAGGGAAUCUUCCGCAAUGGGCGAAAGCCUGACGGAGCAACGCCGCGUGAGUGAUGAAGGUCUUCGGAUCGUAAAACUCUGUUGUUAGGGAAGAACAAAUUUGUUAGUAACUGAACAAGUCUUGACGGUACCUAACCAGAAAGCCACGGCUAACUACGUGCCAGCAGCCGCGGUAAUACGUAGGUGGCAAGCGUUAUCCGGAAUUAUUGGGCGUAAAGCGCGCGUAGGCGGUUUCUUAAGUCUGAUGUGAAAGCCCACGGCUCAACCGUGGAGGGUCAUUGGAAACUGGGAAACUUGAGUGCAGAAGAGGAGAGUGGAAUUCCAUGUGUAGCGGUGAAAUGCGCAGAGAUAUGGAGGAACACCAGUGGCGAAGGCGGCUCUCUGGUCUGUAACUGACGCUGAUGUGCGAAAGCGUGGGGAUCAAACAGGAUUAGAUACCCUGGUAGUCCACGCCGUAAACGAUGAGUGCUAAGUGUUAGGGGGUUUCCGCCCCUUAGUGCUGCAGCUAACGCAUUAAGCACUCCGCCUGGGGAGUACGACCGCAAGGUUGAAACUCAAAGGAAUUGACGGGGACCCGCACAAGCGGUGGAGCAUGUGGUUUAAUUCGAAGCAACGCGAAGAACCUUACCAAAUCUUGACAUCCUUUGACCGCUCUAGAGAUAGAGUCUUCCCCUUCGGGGGACAAAGUGACAGGUGGUGCAUGGUUGUCGUCAGCUCGUGUCGUGAGAUGUUGGGUUAAGUCCCGCAACGAGCGCAACCCUUAAGCUUAGUUGCCAUCAUUAAGUUGGGCACUCUAGGUUGACUGCCGGUGACAAACCGGAGGAAGGUGGGGAUGACGUCAAAUCAUCAUGCCCCUUAUGAUUUGGGCUACACACGUGCUACAAUGGAUAAUACAAAGGGCAGCGAAUCCGCGAGGCCAAGCAAAUCCCAUAAAAUUAUUCUCAGUUCGGAUUGUAGUCUGCAACUCGACUACAUGAAGCUGGAAUCGCUAGUAAUCGUAGAUCAGCAUGCUACGGUGAAUACGUUCCCGGGUCUUGUACACACCGCCCGUCACACCACGAGAGUUUGUAACACCCGAAGCCGGUGGAGUAAC
This 1401-nucleotide ribosomal RNA is filed under the name Mammaliicoccus sciuri. RNAcentral's name for it is "bacterial SSU rRNA". It matches the Rfam family "Bacterial small subunit ribosomal RNA". Lineage: Bacteria; Bacillati; Bacillota; Bacilli; Caryophanales; Staphylococcaceae. The record is from RNAcentral.